CCUUUGUUUUGCUGUUUCAUAACUUUGAUUUCUUUUAUAUAUAAAAACUAAACUCCAGUUAUCCUUGCAUGAGAAUCACUUAUAUCAUCCACAAAAUGUCUCUUCAAAAAAAAAAAAAUCGACUAACUAGAUACCGUACUAACAGAGUGUAUGUGACAAGGAGAAGAAAGAAGAAACCAGCUUUGCCCUAUUGGAAAAUAAUCCGGCUCAAAAGAUUUUUUAUUUUUUUAUUUUUUUUUAAUAGCCUUGUUUUAUUAUGGUGGGCACUCUCAGGGUUGUCACUUUAAAUUACAGCAACUUAAAUAUAAACACUUGUUACUAUGUAUAAAAACUAAAUUAAAAAAACCUAUAUCUUCGCCAUUUUUUUUGUCAAAACUACUACUUAGAAAUUAUAUUUACCACAUUUUUAAUUUUAAUUUUUCUUCAUAGCUAUAUGCUUUUGUUUUUUCUUUUUCUUCUUUUUCCCUCACAUAAACUAUAACUGUUAACCACCUCACUCAAUACCAAACGAGGUCUUAAUAAUCUUGGUGAUGUUUUAAUCGGUAGAGAAAAGGAUAAGCCUUGUUUCCAAAUCCAAAUUUGUUCACCCAUUUAAAUUUAACAUCAGCAGGAAAUGUAGCAUAACAUGCAUUGUAGGGCUAAGAGUCAUGCUGGCACUCCCAAGGUGUAAAAUGAAUCUGCUCUAAAACUGAAACAUAGCAACCAGAAUUAACAUGCUGUACCAUCUGAAAGUAAAGCCACCUAAGUCGACCUACAACCAUCACUGAACUAGUUUGUUUGCAGCAUAUGUGGAUGUGCACAAACUGAAAACCGCAGUAAGAAGCUUUAUCAUUUGCAGGAACUUAAUAAGCUCAGAUUCUCAACAUUAAAAUGCACCUCAAGCUUUCUUCGAAAAGGCAAUUACAUUGAAGUUCAGUGAUUCAGGAUUUUUCUGGAUCAUGCCUUUUAUCACUUUAGCUGCAUCCUUUAAAAAAUAAAUAAAUAAUAGAUAAUAUUAAUAAUCAAACUUGAGAGUAAAGUAAAUGUGAAAUACUAUGUAAGAAAACUGCCAAAAAAGAGCUACAACCGAGGNNNNNUUAAUUAAUUAANNNNNUUGAUAAAUCUAGAUGUGUUAUUGAGAAUGCAUGUGAUAGCAAGAUUUUAUUUAUUGGAAAUAGAUGUGGUAAUGUUUAUACCAUUGAUAUAGAAUGUGCAUCUACUAAUGAUAAAUGCUUUUCGGCAUUGCAUAAUGAUGAUUGGUUAUGGAACAAAAGACUAGGACAUGCAAGCAUGGAUUUAAUUUAAAAGAUUUCCAAAAAUGAUUUAGUUAAAUGUCUUCUAAAAAUCGGUUUUCAAAAAGAUAAAAUUUGUGAAGCAUGCCAAUUUGGUAAACAAAUCAAAACCUCUUUUAAAAGCAAAAAUCAUAUUUCUACUUCAAAACUGCUUCAAUUACUUCAUAUAGAUUUAUUUGGACCUUCAAGGUAUGCUAGCUUGAGUGGAAAAUAUUACGCUUUUGUAAUUGUUGAUGAUUUUUCAAGAUACACAUGGGUAUUAUUCUUAGUUAAUAAGGAUGAUGCUCUUGAUGCUUUUAAAGUGCUUUGUAAGAAAAUUCAAAAUGAAAAAAAGGUAUGGUAUUGCAUGUGUUGAGUGUUAGAAAAUGUAUAUUUAUAAAAGAGAAAAUUGUCAUUUUACACUUCAAGUUUUACUAACACCCUUACUUUUAUGUAUUUAAACUUCUUGUCAUUUAAUUAUGUGUGUUUUAUUUUAAUUAAGUAUUUUAUGUAUUUUAGGGGCAUUAUAGUCAUUUCACAAUAAAGGAGAGAUCAGACGGCAAAACGGACAUCACUUUUGAACUCAGGACGGUCGAAAACCUUAGGAGGAGCAUAAAAGGAAAAAUGGCACUGUUCACAUAUACGGUACUGUCUACGUUACUGUUCACAACACUGUUCACAUAGACGGAUUGAUGACGUGACAUUGAACAAUGAUGUGGCAUUGACUGAUGAGGUGUCAUGAUCUUGUUGGUCUAAAAUUCUUAUGCACUAUUGAUCGAUGACGUGGCAGCAUAUCGGUGGACCAAAAAUCUCGCGUACGGUACAUGCAUUACACAGGAUUAUUUUCAACCAAACCGCGUCACUGUUCAACCCGGGUCAAACUGUGUUACUGUUCACCCACGUGGUCAAAUCGCGUACUGUUGACUGAUGACGUGGCGCAAUCCUAAGCGUCCAAACUGUUUUUAAUUCGAUGGCCAUGAUUUACUCAAUGUAUCUAUAAAAAGGGGGCCUCCCCCCCUAAUUUGAUAUAUCUGAAUUCAUUUUUGGACUCCAUUUUCUGUAAUUCCUUCUCCAUUUUGUAUUUUCUACGUAUUUUAAUAAAUUUCCAUUUUGCCCCUAGUUCAAUUAUGAGUAGCUAAUUUUCUUUCAAGCUUGGGUUGAAGGUGAAGUCUCAACAUGUGUCAUGGGCUUUAUUUGGUAAAUUUAUUUUCUUUUCCCCUCUAGUUUUUGUGGAUGAUUUGACUUAUCGUCGACAAAUAAUACUGAUCUUGUCUAGAUACCGCCUUGGUUACACCGGCUCUCUAGUAUAAGGUUAUUAUUAUUUGGCACGAUAAGCCCUUAGCACCAUAUUGAUUAGAGCGUGGUUCAUGAGGUGUGGAUUCCCCCCUCAUGAUUUAAUUGGNNNNNUUAAUUAAUUAANNNNNGAUCUUGUGGAAAGCUGUUUGAGCGAGUAUGGUAAGAGGCAGCCAUUGCUUUUUUUACUUUGAAUUAGAAGGUUAGAAGUUGAUUACCUUGUGCUCAAAUCUCAAUAUAUAUUGCACGAGAUGAGGGAACAAGAGGUAUGUCAUCCUCUUAAAAUAAAAAGAAACGAUAACAUGAUUUCGAGCUUGAUCUAAAUAUUGUAUCGGCUACUUUUAGGCUUAGUCUCCUCCCACACCAGCAUCCUAUCUCAGCUUUUUUAGCCACAAAUCUCACUAGUAUCUUCUCAUAAGCUAAUACUAAAUAAACAAAUGUUUCUGAGUGAUCCAUAAAAUAGGCAAUACAAGGAUGGCAUCAAUUCUGUUUCCUCUUCUAAAAUGCAAGAGACGCUAAUCCAGUUUGGCUUGGCUCCCCGCGGGAAAUAGGCAGAAUUGGUUUAUUUGAACUGGAUAUAAUAUGCAAAAUCUGCAGUGCAUGGGUAGUUAUGCCGCCAAAUUAAAGCAGGCCCAAAAAAGAUCUGCGCUGUUCAUUGCAGGCAUAUUUGGUGCCAAAUGAAUCGCUUGUUUCUUAAGAGACUGACUCCUCACACUAUAGUAACAACUGAUAACAUUCAUUGUCUGCAUUGAAAAAAAUUAACUGCAUAGGAAAACAAAUUAAAUUAAAACUCAGUUAAAUAAAAUAUUCCUAAACCCUAUAGACUUAAUUAAAAAAACUGAAAAAAAUGUAUGUUACAAUGGCCAAGGUAUCCUUCUAUAAUUGUCUACGAAGGUAGUAUUUUUUGAAUUAACCGCCCAUUACUGGGGAAUUAUAUGCCAGGGCGUUAGUCUUUACCCAUUCAAGGAAAUUCUGAAAUGUCUUGCGAGAGGAACCACCUUCUCUGAUGCUGCUCAUGGCUUUUUCCUUGAGUUCCAAAGCCCGUGCUUUAAAAUCUUGAUGACCAAGCACUUGAUCCACCUUGUUCUUAAUUUCUUCUCUUGUAAUGAUGCCACUUUCGUUUUUGUCAAACCUCAAUCCCACCUUCCAAAUAUCACAAAUGUAUUUCUCGUUCAGGAAUUGUUCAGCAAAAUAUGGCCAGCACAAGAAAGGAAUGCCAUUGCUAACACCUUCCAUGGUGGAAUUCCAACCACAAUGGCUCAGGAAACAGGCAAUAGAAGGAUGGUUAAGAACCUUCUGCUGAGGUGCCCAGCCGAUCAUCCGUCCUCGAGCAGAAACUCUCUCUUGGAAUCCGUCUGGGUAUCUAUCAUUUGCAUCAGUGGUAAUAUCUGGCCUUACAACCCAUAAAAAUGGUCUGUUGCAGAGUUCUAGUCCAAAUGCCAAUUCUUGAAACUGAACUUGGUCAAGAAUUGUAAAGCUGCCAAAAGCAGCAUAAAGGACAGAGCUCGGUUGCUGCUGGUCUAGCCACUCCAAACAGCUUGAGUCUUCGAGCCAGAAGUGUCCUGCUGAAUUCCCUAGACGGUUGCCAGCCAAAAGUGGUCCUAUUGGCAGAAGUUCCGGAACCACGGUGAAUGCCUCAGACUCGAGCUCAUACGUUGAGUGACACAACUGGAAAUUUACCGCUCUCAUNNNNNUUAAUUAAUUAANNNNNUAAUUAUUAUAUUAUACAAAUCGUUCCCACUUUGGAUUUUGUAAAACAUUAAACUUGAUGAAAAAUGUAUGUAUGUUAAAGAAAUAGACUUAUGAACCAAAAAAAUUGGUGGGCAAUACGAAAGUCAUUAAUUUCCUCUCCAUACACAAUCUACGCGGGAUGUUUAUUGUUUAAUAGUCUCCUUCCCUCAUAAUCGGGUGGCUAAAAGGUCAACGGAAAUAUAAUUAAAAAAAAUCGAAAUAUAAUUCGUAGUGGUUUUGUUUUUGGGUUUUCUAGCUUAUAAUAUACCUACUUAAUUAAUUAGACAUACCAUAGAUUUGUAAGUUAGUCAAAUCCUCACUGGUUAUACAGUAAAAUCUCUAUAAAUUGAUAAAGUUGCAACAUACAAAAUUUAUUUAUUUAAAAAUGUAUUAAUCAAUUGAUAAAUUAAUAAUUUAUUAUUUUAUAAAGUGUAUAUAUACAACUCAAUGAACAUACAUUUUAAUCAACUAAAAAUUUAUUAUAUUUUACCAAUUUAAUAAAUUAAAACAAGAAAAAUUAAAAUUAUUGUAUUUUAGAAGUCAAACAUGGAACGUCUAGAAGCAAUAAAAAAGAAAAAAAAAUGAGAUCCAAAUAUAUUUAAAUUUUAAAAAAUAACAAUACAAUUAUAUUUUAUUUAUAAAAUCAUAACAAUUAUAUUUUUAAUUUUAAUAAAAUUAUUAAUUUAUGACACGAAAGAGACCAUAGAGUUGUAUAGGUUUUGUUUUUAAAAAUGUUAUCUUAUUAAUUCAUUAAAGUUAUUAAUUUAGCCAUCCGAUUCAAGUUGGGACUGCGAAAAAUUAUUAUAUAAUAAAAUUUAUUAAUUUGUCGAGUAUUAAAUUAUAGAAUUUUUGCUGUAUAUGGAAUGUUACAAUUGAUAAUUCCUCUCUUUUCUUGUAUGCAUAAAGACAAGAUUAUUUGUCUUAAAUAAUAUAUUGUAGGUCCUUAAAAAAGAGUUUUGGGAUAAAAUUUGAUUUUGUGCAAAACAUGGUCUUUAAAUAACUCUAAUACUCAUUAAAUUGAGUAAGAAAUAAUGUAAGAAUUUAAACUUUGGUAGUUAUUUAAAUAAAAUUAUUUGAAAACUACUUGAUCAGACUCUUAAACUUAAUAUAUUAUCAUUACCAUAAUUAUUUCCACUUAUGCUUUUACAUAUAUCAAAAUUUCAUAUUGUAAGCUCAUCUAUUCUCAUAUUGUACCAUUUAAAGUGCUUGGUGAAUUUUUUAUACUCAUUUCGUCUCCAAUGUUCACAUAAAAAUAUACCGAUAAGGAUAAAUUUGACUUUUUAAUGAACAAAUUAACUAGUAUUAAUUCGCAGAGGACUAGAGGUCUUAGAUAAUCAAUAUUCAUGUGAAAAUGUUAUAGUUAUCCCUUAAAACAAGGAGUAAAAUGUAGUAUUAAAAUAUAGGUAAAUUUUCCUUGGGGUAAUUUUAUUUAUAUUCAAAUAAAUUGAUUAUUUUCAAAAUACCCCCAACUAUUGAAAACCUCAAUUUUCUCAAUUAUUGUCAAGAAGAUAUAUAUAUAUAUAUAUAUAUAUAUAUANNNNNUUAAUUAAUUAANNNNNACUCUUUGUAUAUGGUAAGGUAAGAAAUUUGAGAUCCAUCUUCAGUUCUAAAAAAAAAAUUAUGUCCAAACUCAAAAGUCUUUCCUUAGUGAAGCAAAGAAAUUCGUACCAACAAUAUGAUCAUAUAAGCAAAUUAUUCGUGACCAAUAAUAAGAAAAUUAUGUAUCAUACAUAAGUCAAUAAUGAAUGGUAACUUAAUUUUCUCCUACCCAUGUGAGCUAAGUGGUACAUACGAAUGAGGUUUUUUGAAUAAUAACAAAAAGUGCAAUAAAAUAUACUUAUCUAACUAAACGCUACAUAAAAAGUUCCUUUUAUAUACUACUCUCGCUCUCUCUCCCCCCUACAAUCUAGGUAUUUUUUUUAAGUUCAUUUUUUAAAAGAUUGGAGAGUGGAUUAAAUCUAAAUCGAUUUUUUUUAGCCUUUACCUCCCUUAAAAUUCAAAAUCUAUUAGCUAGUUAAAUAAAAGUACUUGAAAAUUAUUUGACUAAAUCAUUGAGGGCAUAAUUUAGACACUGAUAAAUCGUUAAAAAAUUUCAAUUAAAUAUGAUCAUCUAAUGGCGUUCUUAAAGUUCCGUAAUCGCAGCCAGUGCAAUGGUUCUAUCAAAUGAAAUAUUUCUAUCCAAAAUCAAUUUCUUUUUUAUCAUAUGGAAUUAAUCGAUUUGGAAUUGUAGAUUUUUAAUAGAUAUAAUAAAUACCCCAAGUAUUUUGAUAAUAUUCUAAAAUUAUCGUUGAGUUAGUGUGUGGCUUCGGUAGUACUGUCAUGAACUUGGUCAAUCUAACAAAUAUAACGUAACCCAUGGUAUCAUCAAAAUAUGUGCAACCUUGCUCAGUAGAAACCAAAUCAGAUUAGGGAAAUUAUCUCUGUUGUCUUGGUCAAUCUUUUGUGACUUCAUCAAUAGACAUAACAUGUAGCCACGCCACAAUUUUUAAUUUUAAUUGGAAUGCUUAGAAGUCUAUUAAAAAUUAUAAUGUAACCUAACUAAGAAUAAUAUCAAUUAUUCUAUUUUAAUAUAAUAUUUAAUUAAACUAUUGCCAUUAUUGUACUUAGUCAUGGCUCAUAUGUGGAUCCACUAAUUGUUUCACACCGUUGAUUGAUUGAGGGACGGUCAAGAUUUGAUUAAAUAUUGGAAUUGGUAUGCGAUCUCAUUAAAGUUGACUUCUAAAAUUGCAUUCUCAAUUAUUCAGAUUUAAAAAACGAGAGUGAUAAUAUGAUAGUUACGUUUUAAUAUUCUACGUUUGAAAUAUUAUGUUUCUUCUCAAAGCUGCAAAUCUCAUUUACAUUACCUGGUCAAAGACUUCUUGAAAUAAAUUAUUUAUGCUAUUAAUUCAGUUAGUUAAGGAUAUACUUUAAAUGAUAUGACAUUUAAUCAACCAACGAUACAACAUAUAUCGAUUUAAUAUUAAGAUAUCUAAACAUAAUGAGACGACAAGAUCAAUACUCAACAUACAAUUUAAUUUUAAUACAAUUUCUUUCAUAAAUAUUGAUACAAUAAUAUUGAAUCAAUGUCAUGUCACUUGGUUUACUUUAUUUACUUAUUACUUAACUCUUUUAGUACNNNNNUUAAUUAAUUAANNNNNUAAGGAAGGCAUUGUUAAUGUCUAUUUGCCUGAGUACCCAAUGAUUCAUGACUGCCAUACUCAAGAUGAUUCUGAUGGUUGAGGACUUGAUGACAGGGCUAAAUGUUUCAUUAAAAUCCAACCCUUGAGUCUGAUGAAACCCCUUAGCAACAAGUCUAGCCUUGUAUCUAGAGACACUCCCAUCAGGAUUGUAUUUAAUCCGAAAUACCCACUUAUUCCCAAUUACUUUAAUGGGAUGUGUAGGUUUGACAAGAGUCCAGGUAUGGUUGUGAAUUAAGGCCUGAUAUUCAUCUGUCAUGGCUUGAUGCCAAGUGGGAUCUUGAAGAGCUUUUGAGGCAGUAGCAGGUUCUGUAGGUUUAGUAGGAGGGGCUGUAAGAUAGGCUUUAGGCUUAAAUAUACCAGCCUUUGAUCGAGUGACCAUUGGAUGACCAGUAAAAGAUGGUAAGGGUGGAGUUAAAUGAUGAACAGGUGAGGUAGAUGGUUCUGUGGAUGAUGAAACAGUAGGCAAAGGUGAUUGUAUAAGAGUUGGAGAAGAGGAACUUGGAGAGAACAGAGAGAAACCGAGAUCAGCUGCUGUUGAGGAUGAAGACUUGGUUAUAUCAAGUUGAAUCAAAGGACAAACAGAAAAAGACUGAGAUGAAGGAUCAGAAGAAGAACAAGAAUGAGUGACUGAGGAGAAAUCAACUCCUGACUGAAAAGGAAAACAUGACUCAUCAAAUGUAACAUGGUUACUGACAUAGAUUCUACCAGAAGAAUGAAGACACAAGUAGCCCUUAUGAAGAGAGCUGUACCCAAGAAAAAUACACCUAGCAGUUCUAAACUCUAGUUUGUGAUGAUUAUAAGGUCUCAGAUAUGGGAAGCAAGCACACCCAAAAACUCUCAUAACAGAGUAAUCUGGCUUUUUUGUGAAUAGUUUUUCAAAUGGAGAUUUGUUAUCUAGAGUAGGUGUAGGUAGCCUGUUUAUGAGAAAUGUGGCAGUAUGGAAAGCAUUCCACCAAAAUUUGAGUGGUAAAUGGGCUUGAGCAAGGAGAGUAAGACCUGUUUCCACUAUAUGUCUAUGUUUACGUUCAAUUUUUCCAUUUUGAUGAUGAAUGUAAGGACAAAGGUGUCUAAAUUGAAUUCCCUGUGCAGCAAGAUAAGAAAGAAAUGGCCUAAAUUCACCUCCCCAAUCUGUUUGAAGGCAUUUGAUUUUUCUAUUCAAACAUUUUUCUAUCAUAUGCUGGAAUUCAAUAAAGGUUUGUAAGGCUUGAGACUUGGUAACAAGAGGGAAUAUCCAGGUGAAUCUAGUGAAGUCAUCUAAGAUAGAAAGAUAGUAGUGAUAACCUUGUGAGGACAGCAAAGGAGCUGGUCCCCAUAGAUCAGCAUGCAACAAUUCCAGUGGUUGAAUGGUAGUGGUAUCUAUAGAGGGAAAGUGCUGCAUGUGACAUUUGCCAAAUUGGCAAGCAUUACAGAAAAUUGGUUUGAGGGCUCUAUUGAUAUCGAGAGAAGGAUUCAAAUGUUUUAUAAUUUGUUUAAGAGCAUGCACAGUAGGGUGACCCAUUCUCUUAUGUAAAAANNNNNUUAAUUAAUUAANNNNNUUCUGCAUUUUUCUCAAACAUACACUUUGUUUUCCUUAUUUCUCUUCUUUGUUAGCCAUGUUUUUAGCCUACGUUACGUCCUAAUAAAAGUCCUUCUUGAUUUUAGGGAACUAUAGUCUGAAGUAUAAGCUAGUUAUAUGGGCUAAAAGAUGUAGUGGUGCAUAAAAAAAAAAUAAAUAAAUUGGGUUGACUAGCAUUUUUAUUUGACCUGAGAUCAUAUUAUUUCUAAGCUGAUGGCAUAUUUAUUUCAUCUUGGUGAGAGCAUGUGAUAUCACUUAUUUAUUAUUUUCUCUCUCAAUUACCAUUCAUUGGAGUGACUAUGUUUAUUGGGUUUUAAUUUCUUUGUGAGAGUGUCACUACUUCCAGUGAGAUUUUGGGGUUUGACAUGUCAUUCUUGAAAGUAGCUAUAACAAAGUCUACUGGGCUGAUUCAUGUGGAUGGUUGAUGUGGGUGUGAUGUUUCUUUAGACUGGAGAUAAUGCUUAUACUUUUAUUUGAUUGCUAUCAUUAAUCUGAUUGAAUAAACACGAGUGUUUCUAUUAAAAAAAAAAAAUCAUUUUGGAUUUGAAUUUUGUUUUCGCUUUAUUUGCUAGGGACUAGCAAUAAGCUG
This 9597-nucleotide long non-coding RNA is filed under the name Citrus maxima (pomelo). RNAcentral's name for it is "long non-coding RNA (CMAX_LNC004438)". The record is from RNAcentral. Lineage: Eukaryota; Viridiplantae; Streptophyta; Magnoliopsida; Sapindales; Rutaceae.